UGUCUGUCAUUGGCCAAGCGAAUGGAAUGUUUGACGUCACCGAACAUAUAAAAAGGCUUGCCCUGACAUGUUCCCUUCACACACUAGUGAUUCUCUAAGCGAAAGCUGUUGAAAACCACUACUACUCUUCUGACUUUACAGUCUUUACAGACUUUACAGUUAUUUAAUAGACAAAGAUAUUUUCAACAUGUCUGAGUCGAAGGAGGAUAUCGAGACCAGCAGCGGUGGUACUCUGCGAAAGCAGAAUUCUGCCCCUUCAGGUUCUCGGGUAACCUCCGUCCCUCCGCGGGUUGUACCGGAUGUGGAAUUGAGCCAUUCAGGUGUAAGACAGAAAAAGCUUACAUUAUCUGAGAUGCUCGUGAUCGCCACGCGUAAAAUUGUAGACAGACAAAUGGCCACUUUUUACUCGGGUGAGGAGCAAACAUUGGCCAUUCCACAUUGGUUGAGAGAUAUGGAGCGGCGCCGUAAAGCUGAUGGACUAGAUAAGAUCACGGGUUCAUCAGCUGAGGGGCACGUAAAUGUUGUUGAAAGCAGUGGGGAGCGAGAUGAUCAACGGAGGUUGUGUGUCUCUGCCCCCGCAGUUUUGGAAACCAGGUUUGUCCUUCCUGGGGCAAUUGAGGAUGAAGAGUGGGUCCCUGCAGUUGUGGCUACACCUGCAGCGGCUUUAGAUGAGGAGGAGAGAAGCUUACCAGAACCAAAACCAGAAGGCCGGAAGAAAAUCCGGGCUUUCAUGCGCAGAGCAUUGCAAGCAAUCAGAAAAGCUUGUUGUUGCUGCGUAAUUGAGGAUAACGUGGAGCCAUUUUGAUCCUCAGGUGCCCGUAUAGACGAAGCUGAUGUAGAAAGGUUCUGGUAUUAAGCAAACGGGUUUUUAAGAACCACCCUAUUGCCGGUCAGGUUCGUCAUUCCUUGGAUAUAUCAGCUUUCCAAGAAGCAGCUGAUCAUAUGGUCCAUUCGACCAUCGCCCAUGUGCUCCGGCAGAUCAGCUGAUUUUAAGUCGGGUUUUUCUUACCUGCACCCAGCUCGUGAUAAAACACUGGCAGUAUAGUCCCUUCGGACUCGAGCCGGCGAGCUUGUUUUCCUUGGAAACAUGCCCGUUCCAAGAAGAGGAUGAUCAUAAAUGUGGUCUAUCGACCACGGGCGUCAUGCUCAACCGGAUCAUGCUGAUUAGUCAGUCAGGUUUGUGUAACCUGCACCCAUCUCGUGAAAAACACUGGCAGUAUAGUCCCUUCGGACUCGAGCCGGCGAGAUUGUUUUCCUUGGAAACAUGCCCUUUCCAAGAAGAGGAUGAUCAUAAAUGUGGUCCUUUCGACCACGGGCGUCAUGCUCAACCGGAUCAUGCUGAUUGGUCAGUCAGGUUUGUGUAACCUGCACCCAGCUCGUGAGAAACACAGGCAGUAUAGUCCCUUCGGACUCGAGCCGGCGAGCUUGUGGAACCAGACUAUUGCCAGUCUGGUUAAUCAUCUUUGGACAUAACAGCUUUCCAAGAAGCAGCUGAAUGGUCAGGUUCAUCUAGCCUGCGGUCAAGCGAUAGUGAUCGAAAAAUGUCAUUGCUUUAUGAAGUGGGAAGACAGAUUGGAAGAGGUGCCUUUAGAAAAGUGGAUGAGGGGACUCGCAAAUCUGAUGGCAUGAAGGUAGAACCGCUCUUUAUCAAAUUGUUUUGCCAACCCUACAUUAUAUAUGACUUACAUAUGAUUAUUUCUCUCUUGUACGUCACCAUCUGGCAAGGAAAUCUGCACCAAAAUAUCCUCGAACCCGAGGACAUUGAGACAAACAGACCCAGUUCCGGCCGCCGUGGAGGUCAACACACACCACUGAUCUACUGGGCGUCCUUUAACGUGAUGCCCAGCCGAUGCCUGACCAACGACCACCGGCGGAACCUGUUUAAUCUCCUCAUCCGUUUACAUAUAUCUCCCAAGGGUUUUUUCCCUCCUAGGACUUUUUUCCCUCCUUGCAAAAAAUUCGGGAGGUUUUUCUCCUAGGGGGGUUUUUCAACCCGGGGAGUCAGCCGACAUUGGCUUAACAUAGCACCCUCUUCAAUACGUUACAUUAUUAAUACGCUCGCUUGUAAAGUUUAUUCAUAGCCGCUGUAUUUUGCUACUUAUAUUGUCUGUCGAAUUUUCUGUGUUUUUUCCUGUUUCUAUUCAUGUAAAGCUGCUUUGAAACAAUUACAAAUUGUGAAAAGCGCUAUAUAAA
RNA transcript from Misgurnus anguillicaudatus (oriental weatherfish), 2193 nucleotides. RefSeq lists it as uncharacterized. The record is from RefSeq and is a predicted model, not a curated record. Lineage: Eukaryota; Metazoa; Chordata; Actinopteri; Cypriniformes; Cobitidae.